AUUGAACGCUGGCGGCAUGCCUUACACAUGCAAGUCGAACGGUAACAGGUCUUCGGAUGCUGACGAGUGGCGAACGGGUGAGUAAUACAUCGGAACGUGCCUAGUAGUGGGGGAUAACUACUCGAAAGAGUGGCUAAUACCGCAUGAGAUCUACGGAUGAAAGCAGGGGAUCGCAAGAACUUGUGCUACUAGAGCGGCCGAUGGCAGAUUAGGUAGUUGGUGGGAUAAAAGCUUACCAAGCCGACGAUCUGUAGCUGGUCUGAGAGGACGAUCAGACACACUGGGACUGAGACAUGGCCCAGCAUCCGACGGGAGGCAGCAGUGGGGAAUUUUGGACAAUGGGCGAAAGCCUGAUCCAGCAAUGCCUCGUGCAGGAUGAAGGCCUUCGGGUUGUAAACUGCUUUUGUACGGAACGAAAAGCCCCGGGUUAAUACCCUGGGUUCAUGACGGUACCGUAAGAAUAAGCACCGGCUAACUACGUGCCAGCCGCCGCAGUAA
RNAcentral lists this ribosomal RNA (498 nucleotides) under uncultured bacterium. Its description in RNAcentral is "partial 16S ribosomal RNA". It matches the Rfam family "Bacterial small subunit ribosomal RNA", at positions 30 to 523 of the family's 1533-position model. The record is from RNAcentral.